This 97-nucleotide ribosomal RNA is filed under the name Vibrio coralliilyticus. The record is from RNAcentral. RNAcentral also lists the same sequence under 1 other name. Lineage: Bacteria; Pseudomonadati; Pseudomonadota; Gammaproteobacteria; Vibrionales; Vibrionaceae.
UGGACCCACCUGAUUCCAUGCCGAACUCAGAAGUGAAACGCAAUAGCGCCGAUGGUAGUGUGGGGCUUCCCCAUGUGAGAGUAGGACAUCGCCAGGC